AUUGAACGCUGGCGGCAGGCCUAACACAUGCAAGUCGAGCGGAUGAAGGGAGCUUGCUCCUGGAUUCAGCGGCGGACGGGUGAGUAAUGCCUAGGAAUCUGCCUAGUAGUGGGGGAUAACGUCCGGAAACGGGCGCUAAUACCGCAUACGUCCUGAGGGAGAAAGUGGGGGAUAUUCGGACCUCACGCUAUCAGAUGAGCCUAGGUCGGAUUAGCUAGUUGGUGGGGUAAAGGCCUACCAAGGCGACGAUCCGUAACUGGUCUGAGAGGAUGAUCAGUCACACUGGAACUGAGACACGGUCCAGACUCCUACGGGAGGCAGCAGUGGGGAAUAUUGGACAAAGGGCGAAAGCCUGAUCCAGCCAUGCCGCGUGUGUGAAGAAGGUCUUCGGAUUGUAAAGCACUUUAAGUUGGGAGGAAGGGCAGUAAGUUAAUACCUUGCUGUUUUGACGUUACCAACAGAAUAAGCACCGGCUAACUUCGUG
RNAcentral lists this ribosomal RNA (484 nucleotides) under uncultured bacterium. RNAcentral describes it as "partial 16S ribosomal RNA". It matches the Rfam family "Bacterial small subunit ribosomal RNA", at positions 30 to 507 of the family's 1533-position model. The record is from RNAcentral.